GGGGAUAACACUUGGAAACAGGUGCUAAUACCGCAUAAUAGUCGACACCGCAUGGUGUUGAUUUGAAAGACGCUUUCGGGUGUCACUGAUGGAUGGACCCGCGGUGCAUUAGCUAGUUGGUGAGGUAACGGCUCACCAAGGCGAUGAUGCAUAGCCGACCUGAGAGGGUGAUCGGCCACACUGGGACUGAGACACGGCCCAGACUCCUACGGGAGGCAGCAGUAGGGAAUCUUCGGCAAUGGACGAAAGUCUGACCGAGCAACGCCGCGUGAGUGAAGAAGGUUUUCGGAUCGUAAAACUCUGUUGUUAGAGAAGAACAAGUAGGAGAGUAACUGCUCUUACCUUGACGGUAUCUAACCAGAAAGCCACGGCUAACUACGUGCCAGCAGCCGCGGUAAUACGUAGGUGGCAAGCGUUGUCCGGAUUUAUUGGGCGUAAAGCGAGCGCAGGCGGUUUCUUAAGUCUGAUGUGAAAGCCCCCGGCUCAACCGGGGAGGGUCAUUGGAAACUGGGAGACUUGAGUGCAGAAGAGGAGAGUGGAAUUCCAUGUGUAGCGGUGAAAUGCGUARAUAUAUGGARGAACACCAGUGGCGAAGGCGACUCUCUGGUCUGUAACUGACGCUGAGGCUCGAAAGCGUGGGGAGCAAACAGGAUUAGAUACCC
RNAcentral lists this ribosomal RNA (662 nucleotides) under uncultured bacterium. Its description in RNAcentral is "bacterial SSU rRNA". It matches the Rfam family "Bacterial small subunit ribosomal RNA", at positions 139 to 787 of the family's 1533-position model. The record is from RNAcentral.